RNAcentral lists this ribosomal RNA (196 nucleotides) under Shigella boydii. RNAcentral describes it as "partial 16S ribosomal RNA". It matches the Rfam family "Bacterial small subunit ribosomal RNA", at positions 1 to 204 of the family's 1533-position model. The record is from RNAcentral. Lineage: Bacteria; Pseudomonadati; Pseudomonadota; Gammaproteobacteria; Enterobacterales; Enterobacteriaceae.
AAAUUGAAGAGUUUGAUCAUGGCUCAGAUUGAACGCUGGCGGCAGGCCUAACACAUGCAAGUCGAACGGUAACAGGAAUCAGCUUGCUGAUUCGCUGACGAGUGGCGGACGGGUGAGUAAUGUCUGGGAAACUGCCUGAUGGAGGGGGAUAACUACUGGAAACGGUAGCUAAUACCGCAUAAUGUCGCAAGACCAA